GUGGGGAAUAUUGCGCAAUAGGGGAAACCCUGACGCAGCGACGCCGCGUGGAGGAUGAAGGUCUUCGGGUUGUAAACUCCUUUUCUCAGGGAAAAUGAUGAUGGUACCUGAGGAAUAAGCCACGGCUAACUCUGUGCCAGCAGCCGCGGUAAGACAGAGGUGGCGAGCGUUGUUCGGAAUUACUGGGCUUAAAGGGCGAGUAGGCGGUGAGGUAAGUCUGAGGUGGAAUCCUAUGGCUCAACCAUAGAAUUGCCUCGGAAACUGCUUUACUUGAGUCAGUGAGGGGAGGGCGGAAUUCCUGGUGUAGCGGUGAAAUGCGUAGAUAUCAGGAGGAAGGCCUGUGGCGAAGGCGGCCCUCUGGCACUGAACUGACGCUGAGGCGCGAAAGCGUGGGUAGCAAACAGGAUUAGAUACCCGAGUAGUCC
RNAcentral lists this ribosomal RNA (425 nucleotides) under uncultured bacterium. RNAcentral describes it as "bacterial SSU rRNA". It matches the Rfam family "Bacterial small subunit ribosomal RNA", at positions 354 to 796 of the family's 1533-position model. The record is from RNAcentral.